CUCCUUCAUACAAGCAGAAUACACCGUUGCUAUUAGCUGCUCUGUUUUACAAUGUGCCCUGAUAACAGCUAUCCAGGUGUGUGUGCUUGCCAGUGAUAUCUGUAGGGGACAAGCUCUGGCACCCUCUGGAUUGGCGUCCACUCGGGGAACUCCCCACUUCUGGAAGAGCACUCUGACGACCUCAGGGUGGAGGGACCACUCAUGAUGAGAGAAUAUGGACCUGCUGAGGUGAUCUGCCAGCGUGCUCUGGACGCCAGGGAGGUGCGAGGUCUCCUGGCAAAGAGCUGAAGAAUGUGCUCCCUCUUGCCUGUUGACAUAGAACAUGGGAGGCCAUGUUAUCCAUCAAUAUCUGCACCACCCGACAGGACAGUUGGGCAAGGAAGACACCGCAGGCCAGAGAGAUGACCCUGAGUUCCCUGAUGUUUAUAUGUAACGCAAGCUCCUCUCGAGACCAUAACCCUCAGUGUACUGAGAUGUGCUCCCCAUCCGAGAUCGGAUGCAUCCGAAAUCAAGGAGACCAUGGGUCGCGGGCUCUCGAACAGCACACCUUCCAACAUCAACAUUGGGUCGGACCACCUCUGCAGAGAGAUAAGUACCCUCAGAGGGAUUGUGAUGACUUUAUCUAAGUGAUGUCUGGCUGGGGAGUAGACCAAUGUCACCCACACUGGGAGGGGACACAGCCUGAGUCUCGCAUGGCAGACAACAUAUGUGCAUGCUGUCAUGUGACCCAAUAGUCUGAGACAGACCCGGGCUGUGGUGUGUGGAUGUGAGGUGAUGCUGGCAAUCAGAUCUGACAUUGCCUUGAAGCUGGCCUCUGGCAGAAAUGUUCUGGCUCGGGUAGAGUUGAGAACCGCUCCGAUAAACUCUAUCUGUUGGACCAGGAUUAACAUUGAUUUUUGUUCAUUUAGCAGCAGGCCGAGAGCUUGACAAAGUGGCUCACAUCGUCUCAACGCUGCGCUGGACCAUGAUCCUAGAGUGGCCCUGGAUGAGACAGUUGUCGAGGUACAGGUAAAUCUGGAUACUCUGAUGUCUGAGGUAGGCCACCACCACCAACAUGCAUUUCAUAAACACCCUUGGAGUCGUUGCUAGGCCAAAAAGGAGCACUGUGAAUUGGUAGUGGGCGGUCCCAACUACGAAACGUAGGAACCAUCUGUGACUGUGGAAUGUCGAUAUGUGAAAGUAAGCGUCCUUCAGAUCAAGGGUGGCAUUCCAGUCUCCCAGAUCCAGGGAAGGAAUGAUGGAGGCAAAGGAGAACAUGCAGAACUUCAACUUCUUGAGGUACUUGUUGAGGAUCCGUAGGUCGAGGACGGGGCAUA
Long non-coding RNA from Malaclemys terrapin pileata, 1316 nucleotides. RefSeq lists it as uncharacterized. The record is from RefSeq and is a predicted model, not a curated record. The transcript has 3 exons. Lineage: Eukaryota; Metazoa; Chordata; Testudines; Emydidae.